GUGGAGAUGGUCAAAUGAAUGAUUUAGUUUGCUGGUAUUAUCAUUGGAACCGCGAUUGGUUUAAACGUGGUAAGUGGAGUUAGUUGAGCCAGUCCUCAGAGUGUUGUCAUAACCGAAAGGUAACCUCAAACAGAUUACUUCUUUGGUUGUGAAGAUCGUGUGAUUUUGGAAUAAGAAGUCUGGGCUGAGAUUCGUUUCGUUUGAGUCUCUCGACUGCGGCUUCUUCUGAGCUGAUGUGGGUGGGGCAAGGUUCGGUGGCUUGGUUGUAACUCCGUCAUUCCACCGCGUCAAGAGGUAG
Long non-coding RNA from Helianthus annuus (common sunflower), 298 nucleotides. RefSeq lists it as uncharacterized. The transcript has 3 exons. The record is from RefSeq and is a predicted model, not a curated record. Lineage: Eukaryota; Viridiplantae; Streptophyta; Magnoliopsida; Asterales; Asteraceae.